This 21-nucleotide non-coding RNA is filed under the name Caenorhabditis elegans. Lineage: Eukaryota; Metazoa; Nematoda; Chromadorea; Rhabditida; Rhabditidae. The record is from RNAcentral.
UUUUAGAAGUGUUAAUUUUCU